UUUACCAUUGUUAGUCGCACAUGCAAGGUUCACAUAACAGCAACUAGGAUUUAAAUGCAUUUCCAAGAAAGUUCACAUGCAUUUCUUAUCAACUUUGACCUGAUGCAUUAAAUGCAUUCUUAAAUUGUAGUCAGCUGCAGAACUAUUGUAAAUGUUUCCUUCUUCCUUUUUUUGUUAAAUAUAAAGAUAAAAUAUCUGCACAAAUGUCAUUAAAUAUGCAGAUUAACCAAACCGAAACUUAAUAUUAUACAUUUUACGACAAACAGAUCUAUAAACAUUAUUGUUCUACCUUGAUCAGCAAUUAGUUUUCUCUCAACACAGUUUUAUAGUAUUUUUUCUGAAGAUAUACAGAAUUUGAGACCGGUGUUCAGUUCAGCGUGUAUUAAAUAACCUUUCACUACAUAUUUAGAAGGCUGGAUGGGACGGAUUCAUCUCCUUAUCUCCAGGUCGGAGAGGAUAAACUCACACAGCUCUUCUAUCUACAGUUGUACAAUAGUGCACUCCAGGACAUAGACAAUAAUAAUAAAGAGAAGUCGAAACCAAAAAGCCAGAAAUCUAAAAAUAAGAAUGUGAGGAAAGAAUUGAA
This is a long non-coding RNA of Eurytemora carolleeae, 586 nucleotides long. RefSeq lists it as uncharacterized. The record is from RefSeq and is a predicted model, not a curated record. Lineage: Eukaryota; Metazoa; Arthropoda; Copepoda; Calanoida; Temoridae. The transcript has 3 exons.